GCUUAACACAUGCAAGUCGUGCGAGAAAGACCUUCGGGUGCGAGUAGAGCGGCGGACGGGUGAGUAACGCGUAGGAAUCUACCUAGUAGAAGGGGAUAGCCCGGGGAAACUCGGAUUAAUACCGUAUACCUCCUUAGGGAGAAAGAGGGCUUAGCUUUGAUGCUCUCGCUAUUAGAUGAGCCUGCGUAAGAUUAGCUUGUUGGUGAGGUAAUGGCUCACCAAGGCGACGAUCUUUAGCUGGUCUGAGAGGACGAUCAGCCACAUUGGGACUGAGACACGGCCCAGACUCCUACGGGAGGCAGCAGUGGGGAAUAUUGGACAAUGGGCGCAAGCCUGAUCCAGCCAUACCGCGUGUGUGAAGAAGGCUUUCGGGUUGUAAAGCACUUUAAGUAAGGAGGAAAAGAUUGUAGUUAAUACCUGCAAUCCGUGACGUUACUUACAGAAUAAGGACCGGCUAAUUCCG
Molecule: ribosomal RNA, 463 nt
Filed under: uncultured Pseudomonadota bacterium
Lineage: Bacteria; Pseudomonadati; Pseudomonadota
Description: bacterial SSU rRNA
Rfam family: Bacterial small subunit ribosomal RNA
Source: RNAcentral